CUGAUUAUUGAAAGGUGCUUGCAUCUUGAUUUAAUUUUGAACGAGUGGCGGACGGGUGAGUAACACGUGGGUAACCUGCCCUUAAGUGGGGGAUAAUAUUUGGAAACAGAUGCUAAUACCGCAUAAAUCCAAAAACCGCAUGGUUCUUGGCUGAAAGAUGGCGUAAGCUAUCGCUUUUGGAUGGACCCGCGGCGUAUUAGCUAGUUGGUGAGGUAACGGCUCACCAAGGCAAUGAUACGUAGCCGAACUGAGAGGUUGAUCGGCCACAUUGGGACUGAGACACGGCCCAAACUCCUACGGGAGGCAGCAGUAGGGAAUCUUCCACAAUGGACGCAAGUCUGAUGGAGCAACGCCGCGUGAGUGAAGAAGGCUUUCGGGUCGUAAAACUCUGUUGUUGGAGAAGAAUGGUCGGCAGAGUAACUGUUGUCGGCGUGACGGUAUCCAACCAGAAAGCCACGGCUAACUACGUGCCAGCAGCCGCGGUAAUACGUAGGUGGCAAGCGUUAUCCGGAUUUAUUGGGCGUAAAGCGAGCGCAGGCGGUUUUUUAAGUCUGAUGUGAAAGCCCUCGGCUUAACCGAGGAAGUGCAUCGGAAACUGGGAAACUUGAGUGCAGAAGAGGACAGUGGAACUCCAUGUGUAGCGGUGAAAUGCGUAGAUAUAUGGAAGAACACCAGUGGCGAAGGCGGCUGUCUGGUCUGU
Molecule: ribosomal RNA, 700 nt
Filed under: uncultured Bacilli bacterium
Lineage: Bacteria; Bacillati; Bacillota; Bacilli
Description: bacterial SSU rRNA
Rfam family: Bacterial small subunit ribosomal RNA
Source: RNAcentral